RNAcentral lists this ribosomal RNA (197 nucleotides) under uncultured bacterium. Its description in RNAcentral is "partial 16S ribosomal RNA". It matches the Rfam family "Bacterial small subunit ribosomal RNA", at positions 335 to 524 of the family's 1533-position model. RNAcentral also lists the same sequence under 2 other names. The record is from RNAcentral.
ACUCCUACGGGAGGCAGCAGUAGGGAAUCUUCCACAAUGGACGAAAGUCUGAUGGAGCAACGCCGCGUGAGCGAUGAAGGCCUUCGGGUCGUAAAGCUCUGUUGUUAGGGAAGAACAAGUACCGGAGUAACUGCCGGUACCUUGACGGUACCUAACCAGAAAGCCACGGCUAACUACGUGCCAGCAGCCGCGGUAAU